RNAcentral lists this long non-coding RNA (367 nucleotides) under Equus asinus (donkey). RNAcentral's name for it is "lncRNA (ENSEASG00005027779.1)". The record is from RNAcentral. Lineage: Eukaryota; Metazoa; Chordata; Mammalia; Perissodactyla; Equidae.
GGAAACCAAGGAAGGUUUCAGGACAAAGGCAUGGACAGGAGAAAGCAUAUUCUUUGGGGGAAAAUAAGGGAUCCAACUGGAUCUGUCUACAUCAACCGUGUGGGAUUCGGAGGCAAGGGGAGCCAACAUAAAUAUGAUGAUGCUCAUGCUGCUUACCGUGUGGCUGGAACAGAGCCCUGAGACUCCAGAAAAGAACAGCCGCAGAAGCUGAACACGAGCAGUGUCUGAAGAGCCAUUGCCCCAAACUCAAGAUCCCUGAUGCCAUGAAACUUGGUGCCCAUUAGUGGAGGAAUGGAUGUAAAGUGGGUGGACUGCAUACUCUGGAAUCCUGUGCAGCAGAUGAAAACAACAAAUGAGAUGAAUGGAC